AGAUUGAACGCUGGCGGCGUGCCUAACACAUGCAAGUCGAGCGGUAACAGGUGUAGCAAUACAUGCUGACGAGCGGCGAACGGGUGAGUAAUGCUUCGGAAUCUACCUUAUGGUGGGGAAUAACUAGCCGAAAGGUUAGCUAAUACCGCAUACGUCCUACGGGAGAAAGCAGGGGAUCGCAAGACCUUGCG
Molecule: ribosomal RNA, 191 nt
Filed under: uncultured soil bacterium
Lineage: Bacteria
Description: partial 16S ribosomal RNA
Rfam family: Bacterial small subunit ribosomal RNA
Source: RNAcentral